Molecule: ribosomal RNA, 468 nt
Filed under: uncultured bacterium
Lineage: Bacteria
Description: partial 16S ribosomal RNA
Rfam family: Bacterial small subunit ribosomal RNA
Source: RNAcentral
GAUGAACGCUGGCGGCGUGCCUAACACAUGCAAGACGAGCGAUUUACUUCGGUAAAGAGCGGCGGACGGGUGAGUAACGCGUGGGUAACCUGCCCUGUACAAACGGAUAACAUACCGAAAGGUAUGCUAAUACGGGAUAAUAUGCUUUAGUCGCAUGGCUGAAGUAUGAAAGCUGCGGCGGUCCGGGAUGGACCCGCGGCUGGUUAGCUCGUUGGUAAGGUAACGGCCUACCAAGGCGACGAUCAGUAGCCGACCUGAGAGGGUGAUCGGCCACAUUGGAACUGAGACACGGUCCAAACUCCUGCGGGAGGCAGCAGUGGGGAAUAUUGCACAAUGGGCGAAAGCCUGAUGCAGCAACGCCGCGUGAGCGAUGAAGGCCUGCAGGUCGUAAAGCUCUGUCCUCAAGGAAGAUAAUGACGGUACUUGAGGAGGAAGCCCCGGCUAACUACGUGCCAGCCGCCGCCGUAA